Molecule: transfer RNA, 80 nt
Filed under: Candidatus Bathyarchaeota archaeon
Lineage: Archaea; Thermoproteati; Candidatus Bathyarchaeota
Description: tRNA-Val
Rfam family: tRNA
About the family: Transfer RNA (tRNA) molecules are approximately 80 nucleotides in length.
Source: RNAcentral
GGGCCCGUGGCCUAGCCAGGACCAAAGGCACCGAACCAACAAGCCGGAGAUCCCGGGUUCAAAUCCCGGCGGGCCCGCCA